AUUGAACGCUGGCGGCAGGCUUAACACAUGCAAGUCGAGCGGGGUGAUGGUGCUUGCACUAUCACUUAGCGGCGGACGGGUGAGUAAUGCUUAGGAAUCUGCCUAUUAGUGGGGGACAACAUCUCGAAAGGGAUGCUAAUACCGCAUACGUCCUACGGGAGAAAGCAGGGGAUCACUUGUGACCUUGCGCUAAUAGAUGAGCCUAAGUCGGAUUAGCUAGUUGGUGGGGUAAAGGCCUACCAAGGCGACGAUCUGUAGCGGGUCUGAGAGGAUGAUCCGCCACACUGGGACUGAAACACGGCCCAGACUCCUACGGGAGGCAGCAGUGGGGAAUAUUGGACGAUGGGGGUAACCCUGAUCCAGCCAUGCCGCGUGUGUGAAGAAGGCCUUAUGGUUGUAAAGCACUUUAAGCGAGGAGGAGGCUCUUUUGGUUAAUACCCAAGAUGAGUGGACGUUACUCGCAGAAUAAGCACCGGCAAACUCUGUGCCAGCCGCCGCCGUAA
Molecule: ribosomal RNA, 503 nt
Filed under: uncultured bacterium
Lineage: Bacteria
Description: partial 16S ribosomal RNA
Rfam family: Bacterial small subunit ribosomal RNA
Source: RNAcentral